RNAcentral lists this transfer RNA (93 nucleotides) under Actinomycetota bacterium. RNAcentral's name for it is "tRNA-Sec". It matches the Rfam family "Selenocysteine transfer RNA". The record is from RNAcentral. Lineage: Bacteria; Bacillati; Actinomycetota.
GGAGGUGUAAGGGCACCUGGUGGGCCCCCCCGCCUUCAAAGCGGGUGCCGGCAGCGAACCUGCCGGGGCGGGUUCGAUUCCCGUCCACCUCCG